GCCAGCCCAUUGUGAUGCGUUCAGGAACACCUCGGGAAAUCCCAUCGUGACUUCAUUACAGUCAUUUUGCUGACGCCUUGGUCCACAGCGACUCACAAUACUUGGUUACACGUCAGCAGGUCGGCAGGUAGCAUCAAGCGCCCACACUUUAUUUUUUUUUAAAUUUAGCCCGAAUCCUCACCGGGAAUCCAAACCCAUGUGCUUCUUGUACCAAAGCCAGCAGUCUAAACAAUCAUUUGGGUCGGGAACAAAAAUAAAAUAAAAAAUAAACUGUAUUGGUGCAAAGUAACUUAGUAUGCUUACUCAAUUACACAAUUGAAAUUUGAGUUAGUCGAGUAUGUUUGAUAUGUCAUAGUAUACGUCUACUCCACUGAAACUGUCCAGGAACACAGGACACACUGAAGACGCUCGAGCGCGUCUCUUCCUCUUCCGGUUUCCGGCAGCGCCGAAAACUUUUGUUUGUUUAGGGCACGACGGAGCAAACAUGGCGGCGUACGGGGAAGUCGGGUCCAAGUCAAAUGAACUCAUUCAAAGUUGACGAAAACACAUCGGUUCUCUGUUGCAGCUGGGAGGCACAUGUGGACCCAGGGCCCCUCAGUGCAAGUCACGAAGCCGUUACGCCGCCCAGGUUGGAAUUAACACCGGACUGAGGUGAUGUCGAGAUUAGGCAUGUGCAAGUUGUGGCUAUUGUGGUACAGGUGUUCAAACUAUCGAACUUCAUGACGUAGAAAGGAUGCGUCACUGUGCACUUGCAUGAAUUUGCCUGCGGGAAGGGUAGGACAUUCAUUUGCAAAUAGAUUUCCUCGAUGUGCGUCACGAUGGAGGCACAUCUCUUCUGUUUUACGGCCCACGGAUCUUUAAAGACGUGAAUUGGGCCCAUUAUUGUCAGCGGCCUGGCAAUGCUCUGUCACCGUUUGCUGAAGUGGGUGUCAGGGAUUAGCAGCAUCUGGUUUCACGCACAUCCCAAAAUCUCUGCACAGCAGCAGCAGCAGAAAGGAAUUAUAGACGACAAGGUUUUUUUUUUUGUCUGUUUGCUUUCAUCUAUUACAUUUGCCAAGUGAAAUCACAGGAUGUCACUGUCAGAUAAAUUGUGACGGCAAAAUGUACCAAAGUCAGCUGCUUUCUCUUAAACCUGCGAAAUCGAAUUAAUAAGAAGUAACUUUGUCACCUGAUUUAUGUUUUCUUCUGCACAAAAUGCCCAUGAUCUCACAAAGGUCUUCAUGACUGAAGGCUUGGAUGAAAAAUGUGGUUUAAAGGAGAAUAAGUGUCCAAAUGUUUGUAUUUUUUGUUUUGUGAUAAUUUGUGAACAAAAAUCUUGACAAAACACCAAAUCACACAAUGUCGUCAUGUACUUCCUUUGGAACCUGAUGAUUACUGCCAAAUAGUUUUGAUUGGAACUAUUUCUAAUAGUGGAAAAAUGUGUAGGCAGAAGGUCUUAGUCACACGUGUGGUCACCAUUGCUCAUAAAGACGACAUAAUUUGAAUUAUAGAAAAACCACCUGAAGAAUACAUCUAUAUGCUUGCAUGGUCUGUGACCAUUAAAGCAAUUCCCCCCUCUGGUAAUAUUUUCCAUUCAUUUAAAAUUAUACAGAAAUCUUACAUUCACAGUUUCUAUUAGGUCAAAAUGAAAGGGCCAGUGAUGGAGUGGAGAGAAGGGAAACAGCAGCCGCACCUACAGUCUGCAUCCAUAAUGAAGAGAUGACCUAAUUCUCUACAAUGACAUCAUCCCUACCGAGUGGGCAAGGGUGACAUCAUCCUCUUGGUAUGUAGACCCCAUGUGAUGAAAUGUUUUGCGGUCCAAAGGAGAAAGCAAUGAAAUGAUUAUAAAAUUAAAACAUCAAAUUGAAAUUAAAAUUGAAUGUACUUGAAUUAAGUAUCAUAUACAAGUAUGCAUUUCAUUUUAUUUUAGUAUUAGUAUUUUACCUGAUGUUCUUAUUGUGUAAAUACAAUUUGAUGUGAAUUACUUCACCAUUAUUUAUGCAUCAUAUUUGGGAAUGAUUCAUUUGGCAUGUUCAAAUGCUGCUCACCAUAAAAACAGUCCUCUCUCUGUCGGAGCAUUGUUUUAGCUUUGUCAUUGUGACACCAGCACAUCAUUCCUUCUGGUUUUUUGUGAUUUGACCACAGAUUUACUGUAUAGUAUCAUCGCUGCAGCAGAUGAGUCAUGCGAUUUUACACUGCAUCAGUAUCACAGGUUUAAUCUUUACAACCAGCGGCCGCCCGACGUGCCCUGCAGAGCAACGCAGCUGUCCGCCUCAGACAGGGAAGCCGCUCAUGAAUAAUGAAUCAGAUUCUGCUGCUCCAGAGAACGAAAGGGGGGAAAAAAGGGGUUGCAUUCCAGGGAGAUGAUGUCAUGCUUGCAAACUGGUGGGGAUGAUGUCACUGAAGAGGACGAUGUCAUCUUUUGUCAUUUUCAAUUGCCUCUAUGAUUCCCCUGCCGUCACACACUUUCACAUGCAGAUUGAUUUUUUUUGAUCACUCAAGAAUGCAAUGUUAUCUGAUUUUAAAUAGAAAGCUGUUCUCAUCUCAUCCUCUUUUAACAGCUUAAUGCUUUUCUGUGGAAGAGAGGAAAUGAGGUGGGAAGUGGGGGCAGGUGCAGACGUAAUACGCCAUUGGCACAGGUUUCUCUGUAAAAAUACCAACAGAGAUUUGAUACAGCAUUUCCUUAAAGGUGGCAGACUUUUCCAGAGGCCGACAUAUCCUGUGUUACACUUCACAUAAUGCCACUCAGUUUCAAAACAGGCUUUCUGUUAUACAUUUUGUUAGAUGCCAAGAAUCAUCCAGGAUAAUCUUGAACCGAUGAUUAAUACUCCCUAUGGCAAUUAAAUUGAUUUUAUUUGUAACAAGAGUGCUGUGCCCCUUCAGAUUUCACAGUAUGUUGAUUGUGUUGUUGAAUAACUGGCAUUGUAAAAAUGUCCCAUCAUAUUUUAAGACAAAUUCCAUCUCCCUUUUGAUUCAUAGAUAGCAUAGCAAAUGCAAAAUGCGGUGGAAUAAACCAUUACAAACUGCUCUUAUUUGGCGAAAAUGAUCUCGUCCAUCAGGUAGCACAUACAGUACCCACCGUUAAGAUGGUAAAAAGCACUUUAGGCGCUUUACAGUACAAGUAACAUUCACCAAUUCAGACACACAGUCAUACAGUGCGUCAAUAUGCAGCACCUUUUUCUGGAGGAGCCGGGCAUCAAACCAUCAACCUUCGGGUUUAUGUACAACUGUCUCUACCUCCUGAGCCAUAGCCAUCCGCCCAGAUGAUGAGAAAAUGUCCACUGGCCUGCUGCUGUCUGAAAUCUUUUUAAAGUAGGUCGUUGUCCUGGGAGGUUACUGACCUUUGGGAAUACUGCAUGGAAGAGGCCAGUGAGGGAAGAAGGCCAAAGCGUUGAGCAAGUGGAUAAACAGUGAAGCAGCUUUAGUGAGGUGCUCUACAGGGCGAAAAUGUGAAUAUUUGUUUAACUUUUUUUUACUCUUAUUUAAUAGAUGAAGUCGAUUUUAUACUUUGUACUGUACGUUUAAAAUGGGACAUUUUCCAUUCUAGGAUGCGACGCCAAAACCCAGAACUGAAUAAAAAAAAUAACCUAAAAUAAAAAUACCCCACUCUC
Scophthalmus maximus (turbot) is the source of this 3590-nucleotide long non-coding RNA. RefSeq lists it as uncharacterized. The record is from RefSeq and is a predicted model, not a curated record. NCBI's taxonomy places the organism in Eukaryota, Metazoa, Chordata, Actinopteri, Pleuronectiformes, Scophthalmidae. The transcript is spliced from 2 exons.